RNAcentral lists this ribosomal RNA (1240 nucleotides) under metagenome. Its description in RNAcentral is "bacterial LSU rRNA". It matches the Rfam family "Bacterial large subunit ribosomal RNA", at positions 1564 to 2813 of the family's 2925-position model. The record is from RNAcentral.
UGAAUACGAGAUGCUACGGCGUCGAAGCAGUCUAUGUCAUACUUCCAAGAAAAGCUUGCACUGUCAUAAACAAAUAAUGCCUGUACCAUAACCGACACAGGUGGGUAGGUAGAGUAUACUAAGGGGCGCGAGAUAACUCUCUCUAAGGAACUCGGCAAAAUGACUCCGUAACUUCGGGAGAAGGAGUGCCUUAUUUUAUAAGGUUGCAAUAACAAGAUCCAAGCAACUGUUUACCAAAAACACAGGUCUCCGCUAAGUCGUAAGACGAUGUAUGGGGGCUGACGCCUGCCCAGUGCCAGAAGGUUAAAGAAGUUGGUUAGCAUCCGCGAAGCUGAUAACUGAAGCCCUGGUGAACGGCGGCCGUAACGAUAACGGUCCUAAGGUAGCGAAAUUCCUUGUCGGGUAAGUUCCGACCCGCACGAAAGGCGUAAUGAUUUGGAUACUGUCUCAGAGAGGGGCUCGGUGAAAUAGACUUGUCUGUGAAGAUGCGGACUACCUGCACCAGGACAGAAAGACCCUAUGAAGCUUUACUGUAACUUGAAAUUGAAAUUGGACUUUACUUGCGCAGUAUAGGUGGGAGGCGUUGAGAAUAUUCUUGCGGGAAUGUUGGAGCCAUCAGUGAGAUACCACUCUUGUAAUGUUAGAUUUCUAACUUUGUAUCAUUAUCUGGUCAAAGGACAGUUUCAGGCGGGCAGUUUGACUGGGGCGGUCGCCUCCCAAACGGUAACGGAGGCGCACAAAGGUUUCCUCUGAACGGGUAGAAAUCGUAUCUAGAGUGUAAAGGCAUAAGGAAGCUUGACUGUGAGACCUACAAGUCGAGCAGGGACGAAAGUCGGUCUUAGUGAUCUGACGGUGCUGAGUGGAAAGGCCGUCACUCAACGGAUAAAAGUUACUCUAGGAUAACAGGCUGAUCUCCCCCAAGAGUUCACAUCGACGGGGAGGUUUGGCACCUCGAUGUCGGCUCAUCGCAUCCUGGGGCGGUAGUACGUCCCAAGGGUUGGGCUGUUCGCCCAUGAAAGCGGUACGCGAGCUGGGUUCAGAACGUCGUGAGACAGUUCGGUCCAUAUCCGGUGUAGGCGUUAGAAUAUUGAGAGGAGCCUUCUUUAGUACGAGAGGACCGAGAAGGACAUACCUCUGGUGUACCAGUUAUCGUGCCAACGGUAAACGCUGGGUAGCUAUGUAUGGAGUGGAUAACCGCUGAAAGCAUCUAAGUGGGAAGCCCACCUCAAGAUAAGUAUUC